Molecule: ribosomal RNA, 468 nt
Filed under: uncultured bacterium
Lineage: Bacteria
Description: partial 16S ribosomal RNA
Rfam family: Bacterial small subunit ribosomal RNA
Source: RNAcentral
GACGAACGCUGGCGGCGUGCUUAACACAUGCAAGUCGAACGGAAAGGCCCUGCUUUUGUGGGGUUCUCGAUUGGCGAACGGGUGAGUAACACGUGAGUAACCUGCCCUUGACUUUGGGAUAACUUCAGGAAACUGGGGCUAAUACCGGAUAGGAUCUCCUGCUGCAUGGUGUGGGUUGGAAAGUUUCGGCGGUUGUGGCUGGAUUCGCUGCUUAUCAGCUUGUUGGUGGGGUAGUGGUUUACCAAGGCUUUGACGGGUAGCCUGCCUGAGAGGGUGAACGGCGACCUUGGGCCUGAGAGAGGGAGCAGAAGGGUACGGGAGGCAGUAGGGGGGAGUAUGGCACAGCGGGCGGAAGUCUGAUGUAGAAACGCCGGGUGCGGGAUGCCGGCCUUCGGGGUGUAAACCGAUGUCGAAUGUGCCGAGGAGUGAGUGACGGUAAUGGGUCAAGAAGCACCGGCUAACUACGUG